UGCACGAGGGAGAUCUCUACGAACACGACGAGAAGACCUACGAUGGGUGCAGCGGCUUGGUCUGCCGCUGCGGCUCUUGGAAAGCAACGGGAGAGUACUUGGCAAAGUGCUGCGUGCAUGAAGGAAUGCAUUAUCGUGAAGGUGAAAAAAUCAGCGUUAACUGCUACAUGAAAAUCUGCAGAGAAGGGUCGUGGGUCUUCGCAGGCUACAAAGACCCGGAUUGUCUGCCGGAUUCGGAAGCGACGCACGAGACUGAGG
Molecule: long non-coding RNA, 258 nt
Organism: Penaeus vannamei (Pacific white shrimp)
Lineage: Eukaryota; Metazoa; Arthropoda; Malacostraca; Decapoda; Penaeidae
Source: RefSeq, a predicted model, not a curated record